AUGGAGGGAGGCGGCUCCAGCAAGGUGGGCUCGCCGGAGGACGCCGCGGCGAGGCGGGCGAGGGAGUACCACGAGUGCAGCUUCUGCAACAGAGGCUUCACCAACGCUCAGGCGCUCGGGGGCCACAUGAACGUCCACCGCGACGAGCGCCGCCGCCAAGCCGCCGCACCGCCGGCCGACAGCGGCGGCUCGCAGAAGAAAGGUCCCGGGAGCAGCGAGGAGCUGGACUUGGAGCUGAGGCUCUGA
This 246-nucleotide ribosomal RNA is filed under the name Triticum aestivum (bread wheat). RNAcentral describes it as "partial small subunit ribosomal RNA". The record is from RNAcentral. Lineage: Eukaryota; Viridiplantae; Streptophyta; Magnoliopsida; Poales; Poaceae.